Molecule: unclassified non-coding RNA, 2487 nt
Filed under: Daphnia magna
Lineage: Eukaryota; Metazoa; Arthropoda; Branchiopoda; Diplostraca; Daphniidae
Description: cytochrome P450 4c3, transcript variant X1
Source: RNAcentral
AUAUACUCAUUCGUAUUUCAAACUUCAAUCAGGUGUCAACUGUGAAACGAUUGUGCGAAACUGUACGAACAUGUUCAUCACUUCUGCAAUUAAUGACUGGAGUCCAUUUUUAUUAUGUACGGCCUUGGCCAUUUUGUUGGCUGUCUGGUAUUGGAGUCGAUCGCAGUUCGUACGGCUCAUCAAUGCAAUUCCAGGACCUAAAUGUCUUCCAUUUUUGGGCAACCUUCUCGAUUUGAAUGCUGGUUACGACGAGCUUUUCAAGAAAUUUACCUUUGACUGGAUUCAAAAGUAUGGCGGUAUGUUUCGCAUUUGGUUAACAUUUUACUAUCCGUAUGUUAUUAUUGGGUCACCGGAGCUGUUACAGCCCAUUUUGUCAUGCCAAAUCAUUGGUCCAGUACCCAAAGAGUGUGACCCGAUCAAAGAACAUAUUGGCGACAGCAUCGGUGUACUGGCAGGAGAAGAGUGGAAGCAGCGCCGCCGGAUGCUCACGCCAGCGUUUCAUUUUCAAAUCCUGAACAGUUUUGUCGACAUCUUCAACGAGAAAAGUGUCGAAUGCGCCCGCACUUUGGAUGGGGCUAUCGAAACGCAUAAGGACAUCGAGUUCGAUAUUAUGCCCAUAAUGACACGAUUCACUCUGGAUAUCCUCUGUGAUACGUCCAUGGGACGAAAGCCUAGAACUGACGAGAAAAAGGAACUAUAUCUUGAAAACAUGGAAGCAAUUCACCGAAUCCAUAUGGAACGUUUUCUGAAACCUUGGCUUCAAAUCAAAUGGAUUUUCAAACUGAGCCGUCUCAGCCGUUUAAACACAUUUCACAUUGCUGCUUCCCGUGCAUUCUACGAUCAGGUAAUCGAAGACCGGCGUCAAUUGCUCAAAGAAGAAAAAGAGAAACAUUCCAAUCAGCCGGUGGCUAAUGAUGGUGUCAACAAUAGCAUUUACCAAGAAAACAACGUGGAUUCAUCAAGAAAGAGGCCGGCUUUGUUAGAUACUCUGUUAAAGGCUUCGGAAGAAAAUCCAAACUUCACUGACGUGCAAAUCCGGGAUGAAGUUAGCCUCUUCAUGAUUGGGGGUCAUGAGACAACAGCUUUCACUCUUGCAAUGUUCUUUUACCUGAUGGCGAAGCAUCCCGGACAUCAGCAAUUAGUAGUUGACGAGUUGGCUGAGGUGUUUGGUGAUUCUGAUCGCCCUUGCACGUCAAACGAUUUCGCGCAGCUCAAAUACUUGGACUGCUGCAUUAAAGAGACUUUGAGGUUGUACCCUGGCAUCCCCCUAAUGCUUCGAUCCAUUCCGGAAGACAUCCAAGCAGGUGGUUUCACGCUGCCCAAGGGCUUGACCGUUAUACUCAACUUCUAUGCAACGCAUCGCAAUCCCGCGGUUUUCCCUGAUCCUGAAUCUUUCAAGCCGGAACGAUUUCUUCCGGAGAAUAGCAUAGGGCGUCAUCCGUAUGCCUUUGUUCCAUUUAGCGCUGGUCCUCGUAACUGCAUUGGUCAAAAAUACGCCAUGUACGAACUGAGGGUAGUGAUAGCCAAUUUUCUUCGUUGGUUCCGCUUUUCCGUCUCCGAUCCGUCUGCACCGCUAGAAGUACCUACCAUUGCAAUAAUGCUAAAGCCAAAGAAUGGCGUUCGCGUGAUUGUCUCUAGGAGAUCUAACCUCCCCUAAUAAGAUAUACAAGAAAAACACUUGGAUUUGUGCAUAUACAUUUUAUAACGUAGACGAAGGGAGUGACGCAAGUUUCAGCGAUCCAACGGUCAACUGCAUCGGCUAUAGAUAAAAGAAGAUUCUUAGGCCACCGAAUUUUUUUUUAAAUUGGCUUUUAUUCUGAAGUGUUUAAGUGCACUUGUUUUCUGCUCGUUCUCCUCCCGCGUUAGACAAACGCCUGCGUUCAAGGAAAAAAUCGAUAUCGUUAAGUAUUUACCCGUUUUUCUUUAGUUAUUAUUUUUAUGUGGCCAAGAGGGCGCCCCUUAUCGUGCUGUGUUAAAAGGAUAAGCACAGCGUGCACUCAACUAUCACAACGAACAUUGCCUAAUGGAACCCAUAUAGCUUUUGCUAAAAUUUUAUCCCGCAACAAUUUCAGACAACUAAGGUUUUGUAAAUGUCAAUGACGAGGUUAAAGUCUGCCAGGCGGGGAUAUAAGAAACGACCCAGAAGAGAAUUCUCCACUGUAUUGGCUAAAAUCGAUAUCCAUCCAAUCCGCCGUCCAGCUGGUCUUCGAUGGACACAGUGUCCAUUGUCGCUAUUUUUCUCCGCAAGUGUCAAUUAUAGGAACUCUACGCGUCCACUGCAAAACUUUUUCAAUCAACAAAAGUCCAAGCGUCGCUUUGAGUUAUUCAAAACGCACGUCAUGCUGAAAUUUGCCUUUACGAUGUGCGGCCGUUUAAAAGGUCAGCCAGUCCGUCACACGUCCAUAACAAUGAUGAAACGUGACUGCUCAUUAUAAUGGAUUGUACGUAAAUGUAUGCGAAAUACAGGAAUAGCCCAUGGUCGAUGAA